GUGGCUAUAGCUGAGUGGUAAAGCUCUCCCUUAGCAUGGGAGAGGGUUAGGGUUCAAUUCCCCAUACCUGCA
Non-coding RNA from Angiostrongylus cantonensis (rat lungworm), 72 nucleotides. The record is from Rfam. NCBI's taxonomy places the organism in Eukaryota, Metazoa, Nematoda, Chromadorea, Rhabditida, Metastrongylidae.